CAAAUAGACUACCCGGGUAGUCCACGCCGUAAACGACUGAUGCUAGGUGUUAGGGGUUUCGAUACACGUUGGUGCCGAAGUUAACACAUUAAGCAUUCCGCCUGGGGAGUACGGUCGCAAGACUGAAACUCAAAGGAAUUGACGGGGACCCGCACAAGCAGUGGAGUAUGUGGUUUAAUUCGAAGCAACGCGAAGAACCUUACCAGGUCUUGACAUCCCUCUGAAUCCACUAGAGAUAGUGGCGGCCUUCGGGACAGAGGAGACAGGUGGUGCAUGGUUGUCGUCAGCUCGUGUCGUGAGAUGUUGGGUUAAGUCCCGCAACGAGCGCAACCCUUGAUCUUAGUUGCCAGCAUUUCGGAUGGGCACUCUAGGAUGACUGCCGGUGACAAACCGGAGGAAGGUGGGGAUGACGUCAAAUCAUCAUGCCCCUUAUGACCUGGGCUACACACGUACUACAAUGGCCGAUACAACGGGGAGCGAAACCGCGAGGUGGAGCCAAUCCUAUCAAAGUCGGUCUCAGUUCGGAUUGCAGG
Molecule: ribosomal RNA, 533 nt
Filed under: uncultured bacterium
Lineage: Bacteria
Description: bacterial SSU rRNA
Rfam family: Bacterial small subunit ribosomal RNA
Source: RNAcentral